GAACUGCUGAACAGGCCUCAUGCUACGAAGGCGUGGGGCGCAGGCAUGACAAGCGUGAGCCGCGUCGUUUCCAAACAAGUCGAGCCUGCAGAACAAGAACAAGCUUUGCACCCAAGCAGGCAAACCCCUGUCCCGCCUGGACAUCACUGACCUGGUGGUCUACGUCCCCAGCCUUCCAGGGAGACCUGGAAAGAAUAUUCAAACAAGAGCAAAAGACAAAAGUCGCUUGGCCCACGGCACCAUCUGGCAUUUCUCCUGCGCGGACACCAGAGGGCUGACGCGUGCUCCCGCGACGGCACGUCACCCACUGAGGCUGGAAGCAACGCGGGACGAGUCCAUGCGGUGGCACAGAGGACGGACACGGAGCAGGGUCCGUGCGGGACAGGACCCCUCUCGCAGACCCUAGCACCUCUCAGCAGUCACAGCCCCGCCCGGGCACCAGGGAAGCCUGAGACAGCGUCACAACUGUGCGUGGCCUUUCCUCACCGUGGACGGGGUGGGGACAGGCUACGGAAGCCAAGGCACAGAGACCACACCAGCGUGAGGAGACUCGGCUGCCCCCAGAACCACUGGGCGGGAAGCCUGCUUCGGGGCCCGGAACCAGCAGCUCAGGCCACACGGGGAUAAGCGGGAACAGCCAAGCAGGAACAGCCAAGCAGGACACACUUAUGACACUUUAGCACACAGAGCGUGUGGCCAGCUGGGCUGCCGUGAAGGCCAGCUAGGCCUCUCCUCACUAAGAAAACCCAGAAGUAUGCGUA
Long non-coding RNA from Neofelis nebulosa (Clouded leopard), 761 nucleotides. RefSeq lists it as uncharacterized. The record is from RefSeq and is a predicted model, not a curated record. NCBI's taxonomy places the organism in Eukaryota, Metazoa, Chordata, Mammalia, Carnivora, Felidae. The transcript has 2 exons.